Molecule: ribosomal RNA, 677 nt
Filed under: Citrobacter sp.
Lineage: Bacteria; Pseudomonadati; Pseudomonadota; Gammaproteobacteria; Enterobacterales; Enterobacteriaceae
Description: bacterial SSU rRNA
Rfam family: Bacterial small subunit ribosomal RNA
Source: RNAcentral
CUUGCUCCUUGGGUGACGAGUGGCGGACGGGUGAGUAAUGUCUGGGAAACUGCCCGAUGGAGGGGGAUAACUACUGGAAACGGUAGCUAAUACCGCAUAACGUCGCAAGACCAAAGAGGGGGACCUUCGGGCCUCUUGCCAUCGGAUGUGCCCAGAUGGGAUUAGCUAGUAGGUGGGGUAACGGCUCACCUAGGCGACGAUCCCUAGCUGGUCUGAGAGGAUGACCAGCCACACUGGAACUGAGACACGGUCCAGACUCCUACGGGAGGCAGCAGUGGGGAAUAUUGCACAAUGGGCGCAAGCCUGAUGCAGCCAUGCCGCGUGUAUGAAGAAGGCCUUCGGGUUGUAAAGUACUUUCAGCGAGGAGGAAGGUGUUGUGGUUAAUAACCGCAGCAAUUGACGUUACUCGCAGAAGAAGCACCGGCUAACUCCGUGCCAGCAGCCGCGGUAAUACGGAGGGUGCAAGCGUUAAUCGGAAUUACUGGGCGUAAAGCGCACGCAGGCGGUCUGUCAAGUCGGAUGUGAAAUCCCCGGGCUCAACCUGGGAACUGCAUCCGAAACUGGCAGGCUAGAGUCUUGUAGAGGGGGGUAGAAUUCCAGGUGUAGCGGUGAAAUGCGUAGAGAUCUGGAGGAAUACCGGUGGCGAAAGGCGGCCCCCUGGNCAAAGACUGACGCUC